RNAcentral lists this ribosomal RNA (259 nucleotides) under uncultured prokaryote. RNAcentral describes it as "partial 16S ribosomal RNA". It matches the Rfam family "Bacterial small subunit ribosomal RNA", at positions 524 to 782 of the family's 1533-position model. The record is from RNAcentral.
UACGUAGGUGACAAGCGUUGUCCGGAAUUAUUGGGCGUAAAGGGAGCGCAGGCGGUUGGAAUAGUCUGAUGUGAAAGCCCACGGCUUAACCGUGGAAGGUCAUUGGAAACUGUCCAACUUGAAUGCAGAAGAGGUAAGUGGAAUUCCAUGUGUAGCGGUGAAAUGCGUAGAUAUAUGGAGGAACACCAGUGGCGAAGGCGACUUACUGGUCUGUGAUUGACGCUGAGGCUCGAAAGCGUGGGUAGCGAACAGGAUUAGA